Molecule: long non-coding RNA, 2971 nt
Filed under: Sorghum bicolor (sorghum)
Lineage: Eukaryota; Viridiplantae; Streptophyta; Magnoliopsida; Poales; Poaceae
Description: long non-coding RNA (SBIC_LNC011751)
Source: RNAcentral
CAACCUGCUGCUCCUCCAUCCACAUAGCCUAUUGUUGCCCCAUCCACAUAGCGUAUUUUUGCCUCCUCUGUGCAUAGUGUUAUAGAGGAUCAAUUGAUCUUCAUCGAGAGUGCAGCGCUACUAGUCCCAUAAAACAUGUAGCCACAAAGAAGAAUAAAGUCCCUUUUAUUUCACCUGAUGAUAAUGGUGCUUUUAGUUCUAACAGUUCUAUAUAUUUGUUUAGUUUUUGCUAACAAGUGCAUAAACCAUUUUAGGUUGGAAAGGAGGUCAUAUUAUAUAACUUGUUGAGGCCACAACCUGUGGCUAAGGCAAUAGUUAUUUCAACAAAUCCAAAGAAUGUAUUAGAAGGCCAACCUCUUCGAAGGCUAUUUUAUGAAGUCGUUAUGAAGGUUGUCAUUAAAAAGGAUACAAUACUACCUCGCCCUUAUGGUGACAUGGAGACUAUGGGUGAUGCUAUAUCAAUGUCAGUUCAGUGGCCAUACAAUAGAGUAUUAUACUAUACUUGCCUUUGUUUCUUUUAUUCAUAUAUGUGAUAAAUGAAGGAAGUUUCUAAUUAAUGAUAUUUGUAAUAGUUGAGGGUCAGCAAGGCAUCACAUUCACCCAAGUCUACUGUAGGUAUGUAUUUUUCUGAAUUUUACUUUCACCAAGCUGCAACCUAUGAUGCUGAACACACCCUGCUAUGUAUACAACACACAAGCGAAAGAAUUUGAUAGUACUGGUUCUUAUUCAUUGCCUACUUAAUGAUGAAGUGAAUUGGAUCACUAUUUCUGGAAGUAAUGAUGAAGUGAAUUGGAUCACUAUUUCUGGAAGUGAAAAUGUAGAAGAACCUGUUAGGAUGGUUGCAACUUAUUAACUCAUACAUGCUAGCAAUUAUGAUGGUGGUAACUAAAGUAGUAUUGCGACAUAGUGAAAAAGAUGAAUCAAGUAUAAAGAAAAAAUAUUAACAAAUGUGACAAUUCACUUGCCCAAUGACCAUAGAUCUUGACGUAGCAUGUCUGCAACAUGAAUUUUAUCCAUAAGAAAUGGUUGUAACUAAUUAGAUAAUAUGGUUAUCUCUGAAGUAAUAUCAAUAACCAUAUGACAGAAUCUUAUGUGAAAAACAUGAGAAUCACAUGUUUUCUAAAAAUCUGACAACCCAUCAAUAUAUUUUUGAGAUAUUAAUAUAUGCUUUAGUCUUGGAAUUUGUAUAUAUAGCCUAGAAUAGAAGAAAAUAAUCUAUUCUGAUACAAAACCUUGGCAUUUUAGCAUGUUCCAUUGUAGUUGAGACCACAUACUAGUAGUUGGAGCUGAAAAUAUGUUUUGGUUUUUUAGGUGGAAGGCGCUAGCUGUAACAUGAUUAUUCUGUGUCGACAAGCAGAUCAGACAUUUUGUGAGAUGGAGACAAAACAUUGAUGGAUGCUAGUUGCUUUGGAUGACAUAACAUUUUGUAAAGAACUGCUUGGCGAUGGAUGUAGUUGCUUUUGAUUAUGUAACUUUUUGUAGAGAACUCCUUGGGUAUGUUAUCUGUGUAGUGUGCAAGCUAGACUUGUGUGAUUUGAAGAACAUUAUAUUGUAGCGAGCAUGAAUGUUACAUAUACCGAUUGGCAUGAAUGAAAUCGAAGCUAUGUCAUCGUGACUUGAUUUUAUAUGAUAUUGAAUGUGAGCUUGUAUGUUUAAUGUCUAAAAUAAUUAUAUGAUUUGGUUGAUAUAAGAUUAUUAAUGUAUUUUGAUGUGAUCUUUGGGUUGGAUGGUUGGUUGGUACAAAUACCAUUAGCCAUAAACUGUUGGACGGUAAAAGUACUACAUUCCAUCAACUUGUUGGUCGGUAUUUCUUCAACAUUUCGUUAGACUUUCGGUCGCUAAAAGUAUAUCGGUCGCUAUAAACUGUCCCGACACCACUUGCAGCGGCUGCAUAUAAGUGUCGGCAUAGAUCUAUACUGACCAAUCCCUAUCCCGAUCGAGGGGACAUUGCUAUUCUAGGGCUAUGGUGUAGUGAAUAUAUUAUACCACCAAAAGUUAAACUUGAGCUACCUCCAUCAUAAGUAAAACACUAGCAAAACGACCUUAAUAGAUAACGACAAGAGGAUCCUAAACUGUCAGCAUGAUUUGAUCUUUUUUGCAUCAUGGCAUGACCUUAAUCUAUAAACUGUAGCAGACAGUCCGAGGUAUUGUAGCGGACUGUCUGAGGUACUGUAGCGUACAGUCUGCCACCUCUAGUUUUGUGCAGUUCGAUCCGUUUCUUUGAGAGCUUGUUUCCAUUGGUGCUUGAGUACUUUUGGGUGGGCCUAAGGCUUCACGUGUGGUACCUUGCUACUAGUUAGUACGUGUAUCUCACGUCUUUGGUGAGUGUUCAUUUUAGAUUGUUUACGAGCCAAGGAUAAAAAGUUUUAAAAGAAUUUUGAAGUUUCCAUUCACACCCCCUCUGGCAUCGCUAUUUUGCGGUCCUUCAACGAUAAAUUAAACCUGAAACUGAAGGAAUAUUCACAUAAUGCACAAGGAAUUCCUAGGUGAGUUAGCUCUCACAUCCCAGGCAAACACGCAUGCGUGCGCACAAUCACCUCGUCUUGCAAAAUCUUCUUUUUAGAGGAACUAACGACUAGUCUUGCAUAUUGAUUGAUGUGCUGCACUAGAAACCAACCACUACUAGAAAAGGACAGAGAGAAGGGAGCAAGAAGAGCACGCACCAUAUGUGCGUAGGAACCCUGCAACAGCGAUGAGGACGGCGACCGCCUGCCUAGCGGAGGGUGCGUGCGAGGCCGACGAGGAUGCAGGAGAAGCGGAGUUAGAAGUGGAUGAUGACGCCAUGGGUGUAGGGCGCGCAGUCUUGGCUGACAACCUCCAUGGCCUGAGAAAACAAACAAAUUAAAAUCCAGGGAUGGAGGAGGUAGCAGAGGAUGGAAAGAAUGGCGAGCUUACUUGCGGGAGCAGGGGGGAGAGAGAGAGGACCGAGAAGGACAACUAACGUCAAGAGCAGAGUAGUAGCCUGACGUGG